This 1353-nucleotide ribosomal RNA is filed under the name metagenome. RNAcentral's name for it is "bacterial LSU rRNA". It matches the Rfam family "Bacterial large subunit ribosomal RNA", at positions 1564 to 2925 of the family's 2925-position model. The record is from RNAcentral.
UGAAUACGAAAUGCUACGGCAUUGAAGUGAUCUAUGCCAUGCUUCCAAGAAAAUCUCGUCAUAUCUUAAACAAUAGAUGCCUGUACCUUAAACCGACACAGGUAGGUAGGUAGAGUAUACCAAGGGGCGCGAGAUAACUCUCUCUAAGGAACUCGGCAAAAUAACCUCGUAACUUCGGAAGAAGAGGUACCCUUGAAAAAGGGUUGCAAUAACCAGACCCUGGCGACUGUUUACCAAAAACACAGGUCUCCGCUAAUUCGUAAGAUCAAGUAUGGAGGCUGACGCCUGCCCAGUGCCGGAAGGUUAAAGAAGUUGGUCAAUCUUUGGAUGAAGCUGGCGACUGAAGCCCCGGUGAACGGCGGCCGUAACUAUAACGGUCCUAAGGUAGCGAAGUUCCUUGUCGGGUAAGUUCCGACCCGCACGAAAGGCGUAACGAUCAGGGUGCUGUCUCGGAGAGAGACUCGGCGAAAUAGACAUGUCUGUGAAGAUGCGGACUACCUGCACCUGGACAGAAAGACCCUAUGAAGCUUUACUGUAUCUUGGAAUUGGGUUUGGGCCUUGCUUGCGCAGGAUAGGUGGGAGGCUAUGAAAAUAUUCUUGCGGGAAUGUUGGAGCCAACGGUGAGAUACCACUCUAGUAAGGCUAAAAUUCUAACUCUGAACCGUUAUCCGGUCAGAGAACAGUUUCAGGUGGGCAGUUUGACUGGGGCGGUCGCCUCCUAUAAGGUAACGGAGGCGCGCAAAGGUUCCCUCAGGCUGGUUGGACAUCAGUCGUAGAGUGUAAAGGCAUAAGGGAGCUUGACUGCGAGACCCACAAGUCGAGCAGAGACGAAAGUCGGCCUUAGUGAUCCGACGGUUCCACGUGGAAGGGCCGUCGCUCAACGGAUAAAAGUUACUCUAGGAUAACAGGCUGAUCUCCCCCAAGAGUUCACAUCGACGGGGAGGUUUGGCACCUCGAUGUCGGCUCAUCGCAUCCUGGGGCGGUAGUACGUCCCAAGGGUUGGGCUGUUCGCCCAUGAAAGCGGUACGCGAGCUGGGUUCAGAACGUCGUGAGACAGUUCGGUCCAUAUCCGGUGCAGGCGUUAGAGCAUUGAAAGGAGUUCCCCUUAGUACGAGAGGACCGGGGGGAAUACACCGCUGGUGUACCAGUUAUCGUGCCAACGGUAAACGCUGGGUAGCCAUGUGUAGCGUGGAUAACUGCUGAAAGCAUCUAAGUAGGAAGCCCACCUUAAGAUGAGUGCUCUCACCGCUAUAAGCGGGUAAGGUCACGGUAAGAACAACCGUUAUAUAGGCAUUAAGUAUACGUGCAGUAAUGCAUUUAGCUAAGAUGUACUAACAGACCGAGGGCUUGAUC